Molecule: long non-coding RNA, 263 nt
Organism: Perca flavescens (yellow perch)
Lineage: Eukaryota; Metazoa; Chordata; Actinopteri; Perciformes; Percidae
Exons: 2
Source: RefSeq, a predicted model, not a curated record
UCAGCACUCCUGUUCCUCAUCUGCCAUUUACUCCUUUCGUAAGCCAGGCCAACCCUCCAGUCCCCGCCGGAUCGUUUGCCUUACUUUUUCUGGACUCUUGGAAUAUUCGCUGCACCUCCGCCUAGCUGACUACUACACCAGUAUACUGGAUCUUCACAACCCUCCAGCCGGCUCGCUUUCACCCACUGCUCCACCAACUGCACUCGCCUGUUCAUUUUUCCCUCGUACAAUAUCUAAAUAAAACCUCACCUUGUUCAAUCUUC